Molecule: non-coding RNA, 398 nt
Organism: Pelobates cultripes (western spadefoot toad)
Lineage: Eukaryota; Metazoa; Chordata; Amphibia; Anura; Pelobatidae
Source: the annotation of a GenBank genome assembly
GGAAAAAGUAGGAUUUAGCACUUUUGGACUAGGAGAUUGAGCAAUCAAUCAUAUUAGAAAACAAUAUGAGAGAAAAGAAAAGGACGGGUUAAAGUAGUUUACUAGGAGACAUAACGGUUCCAUUGAUUUGAAUCUUUCAGAUCAGAAGCAGCUUAUAUAGCGAGAAAAAAUAUAUACUCCUCCUGUGUUAGUCCAAGUGCUAUUCAGUAGCAUGAAAAAAAAAUUCUUACCAUCUACCCUUAAUACUGUUUUUUGUUUUUAGAUACAAGAUAUUUUUGAGGAAUUUUUUUGCAACAUUUGAAUCUUUCUAUCUAUUUUAGAAACAAGCUGCGAGGACCGCUUUGUGAGUAUGCAGGACACUCUCCACCACCUUCACCGACACUGUGCUUCUAUAUCAG